Molecule: ribosomal RNA, 303 nt
Filed under: Triticum aestivum (bread wheat)
Lineage: Eukaryota; Viridiplantae; Streptophyta; Magnoliopsida; Poales; Poaceae
Description: partial small subunit ribosomal RNA
Source: RNAcentral
AUGGGGCAUGCAGCGACGAAGAUGCAAGUUCCAGCUGCGCCGGCGUGCAGCCACGAAGAUGCAUGCAGGGGAGGUUCCAGGACGCGGCGGCGUUCAUUCUCCGGCUGGAUCACGCCGGAUUCCGGCGGGAAUGGUUCGAGGGCGACCGAAUCCACGCAUGGGGAGGCGAGGCAUACACUUGAGGCAGCGACUCGCCUCGAUGCAGAGAACCCAGAGAUUUGGGGAAAGAAAAGGAGCUCUAGGAAAAGAGUUUGGGCAUGGGGUUAUUUUCCCUGGACUCACAAAAAUGAUCGGGAUCCAUAA